UUCCAGAGCCUCUCCCCUACUCUGGCUCUGGUGCCCUUUCUGCCAGAGCGAUGGUGGCUGAGACGCAGCGGAGCGGAGGUGUGAGUGCCUGGCUUAAAACAGGACAUGUUAGCUGCAUUUAACCUUCAGUUACUCUUUAUAUAGUUAGGUAGGAGUCAGACCAUGUUUCUUUUUAGCUGAAAAACAUUACACCCAGGUAACCUGCAGUGUUGUAAACAUGUUUUCCGACGAUGUUUGCUACCCUACAAUCCAACCUACUCUGUAGUAAAAUCAGCUACAUUUGACCGCCCCAUUGAAAUUUAUAUAGCCUAUUUAAAAUCUAAAACUUAAAAUUGUAGCCUAGUGUUGUUACCACUGUGCUGUUUGAAAUGUAAUGAGAGAAGCUGGUUAUUUUGUCAUAUGUGCAUGUGCUGAUAUUAAACCCAAGGUACUAACUAGCUAACUGACUGGAUGCCCAUUAACCUUAUAACUCUUGUUGUCUGUGUGUGUGUGUGUGUGUGUACAGAGAGACAGCCAGGUUCAUAAUGGAUAUAAGGAAGUUUUUUUUUUAAAGGUAAAAGUGUAAGAACAAAUGAUCUAUCAAUCAAGAAUAAUGUUGGAUCAGUGUUUCAAUAUUUAUAUCUUUUAUUAGGUGUACAUGUGGUUUGGUUAUUUGCAUUUUGGUUGAAAGUACACUGAGAGAGGACUUUUUUAUUAGUGAUCUUAAUAGUGGCUUUUUUUCAUAUUAAUGUAAUUUUUUCAUCCUAUUGAAUACAAUCUAUUUGUGUAUGAUUGUCAGUCCAAAGAAGGAGAGAGGAAAGAGGGAACGUGAGGAGAAAGUACAAGGUCAGGAAGAACCAGGGAAGAAAACAGACAGGGAACAGUGACAGGCAAAACAGAAACUGUUAACCUGCUUGUGAGAGUCGACCACCAAAAGUGAUUUGCCAACCUCCAGGCUGACCAGAGAAGUAGUUUCACCAUCUCACCCCUGCGUGGCUCCUCCCCUGUCCGACUGCGCCACUUCAUACUCAACAUUACCCACUCGCCGUGUGACCACAAAGGGCCCUUGCCACUUGGUGAGUAACUCUGCACUAGUUUGGUGGACCAGGGUCUGCAUACAGCCCGAGUCCACC
Molecule: long non-coding RNA, 1112 nt
Organism: Oreochromis aureus
Lineage: Eukaryota; Metazoa; Chordata; Actinopteri; Cichliformes; Cichlidae
Source: Ensembl